Molecule: ribosomal RNA, 484 nt
Filed under: uncultured bacterium
Lineage: Bacteria
Description: partial 16S ribosomal RNA
Rfam family: Bacterial small subunit ribosomal RNA
Source: RNAcentral
AGUGAACGCUGGCGGCGUGCUUAACACAUGCAAGUCGAACGAGAACGGAUUAUAGCUUGCUAUAAUUGUCAGCUAAGUGGCGCACGGGUGAGUAAUGUAUAGGUAAUAUGCCUCUUACUAAGGGAUAACAAAUGGAAACGUUUGCUAAUACCUUAUACUCCUUAUUAACAGAAGUUAAUAAGGGAAAGAUUUAUUGGUAAGAGAUUAGCCUGUAUUGUAUCAGUUAGUUGGUGGGGUAACGGCCUACCAAGACUAUGACACAUAACUGGUUUGAGAGGAUGAUCAGUCACACUGGAACUGAGCAACGGUCCAGACUCCUACGGGAGGCAGCAGUGGGGAAUAUUGCACAAUGGACGAAAGUCUGAUGCAGCAACGCCGCGUGGAGGAUGACACAUUUCGGUGCGUAAACUCCUUUUAUAUGAGAAGAUAAUGACGGUAUUAUAUGAAUAAGCACCGGCUAACUCCGUGCCAGCCGCCGCAGUAA